GGGGGGAGGGGGCCAGGCAGCCGUUAGACAGCACAACCGAACCCAACACCGGGGCCCAACGGCAGGGGCUUGGGCAGGAGCAAGGUCCGAGGGCUGCCAGAUGGAGUCUCGCUCUGUCAACCAGACUGAAGUGCAAUGGCAUGGUAUCGCCUCACUGUAACCUCUGCCUUCUGGGUUCAAGCAAUUCUCCUGCCUCAGCCUCCUGAGUAGCUGGGACUACAGGCACACGCCACCACGCUUGGCUAACUUUUGUAUUUUUAGUAGAGAUGGGGUUUCACCAUAUUGGCCAGGAUGGUCUCAAUCUCCUGACAUCGUGAUCCACCCACCUUGGCCUCCGAAAGUGCUGGGAUUGUAGGCAUGAGCCACCACACCUGGCCUUCAAGUGCUAUUUCUUUGCAGUACCAGGGGACAAGCAUUCUCUUUCUAAAUAAACAUUUUACAUAUAACAGCUGCUUCCCAAAGAGUGCCUCAUGAUCUUUCCUUUUCUUUCAGUGCCAUCGGCCAUUAUCAUGCCCUCGUUCUCUGCCAGUGCUCUGGAAGAGCGGGUGGGGCCCAUGCCCACAGUGCCCUCUCCGAGUUCUGUCCUCCAUGUGGUCAAGUUACCCCCUAAGCCUGUCACACGCAGUCAUCCUGGAACUUUGCUUAACUGCUUCCUGGGUUGGGGCCUUUAUUUCCAGCCUGGGCAACAUGGUGAAAACCCGUCU
This 704-nucleotide long non-coding RNA is filed under the name Homo sapiens (human). Its description in RNAcentral is "HSALNT0390241". The record is from RNAcentral. Lineage: Eukaryota; Metazoa; Chordata; Mammalia; Primates; Hominidae.